Molecule: long non-coding RNA, 351 nt
Organism: Neofelis nebulosa (Clouded leopard)
Lineage: Eukaryota; Metazoa; Chordata; Mammalia; Carnivora; Felidae
Exons: 3
Source: RefSeq, a predicted model, not a curated record
AUCACAUUCUUUGCAAAUCCUUUUGAGGAGUGAAAACAAAACACCAGUUCAUAUUUCAAUAAGUUACCCUUCCAUGUUAUUCAGGGAAGGAAGCUGGGAAACAGAAAUAUUUCACUUACUUUGGGAGAAGCAAAAUGAGCAUGCAGAGUUUCAGUUCAGGAUGCUGAAGACAAGAAGAAACACACAGUAGGGCUGAAAGUGAAAGGGGGUAUGAGAUUUGCCCUUUCCAUGUUCAGAAACGAGAGACCAGGACUCCUCUUUCAUUCGGUAAGGUUAAAAUUUCCAACAUAACUUGAGUCUCACCUGAAGAUACACACAUCUGUCCCCAGUCACCGUUAUGGCAUAUUCCCC